Molecule: ribosomal RNA, 403 nt
Filed under: uncultured bacterium
Lineage: Bacteria
Description: partial 16S ribosomal RNA
Rfam family: Bacterial small subunit ribosomal RNA
Source: RNAcentral
GACGAACGCUGGCGGCGUGCCUAAUACAUGCAAGUCGAACGCAGUGGGGACGGGUGAGUAACACGUGGGUAACCUCCCAUCAGAGGGGAUAACACUUGGAAACAGGUGCUAAACCGAUACUGAUGGAUGGACCCGCGGUGCAUUAGCUAGUUGGUGAGGUAACGGCUAACCAAGGCCACGAUGCAUAGCAGAACUGGAAGGGUUAUCGGCCACAAUGGGACUGGGACACGGCCCAGACGCAUACGGGAGGCAGCAGUGGGGAAUCUUCGGCAAUGGACGAAAGUCUGACCGAGCAACGCCGCGUGAGUGAAGAAGGUUUUCGGAUCGUAAAACUCUGUUGUUAGAGAAGCGUUAUCUAACCGGAAAGCCACGGCUAACUACGUGCCAGCAGCCGCGGUAAUUC